Long non-coding RNA from Pan paniscus (pygmy chimpanzee), 544 nucleotides. The record is from Ensembl. NCBI's taxonomy places the organism in Eukaryota, Metazoa, Chordata, Mammalia, Primates, Hominidae.
GUUCCCUGCAGGUUACACUAUUUGCCAAUAUCUAUUUAAUUGUAGCAAUAACAGGAAAAACUCCCAAAUCCAACCAGCUAGAAAUUCUCUGGCUCUCUUCCACUUUAGUGGAAUCAAAUUUUUGCACUUGCGGUCAUCUUUAUAUAUGAGAGGAGAGUGAGGCUGGGAGAAACUUGGUGUUAAAAAUAAAGCAAAGUUCCAGACUCUCACUCUCGAGAGCUCAUGGAAGAUUCUGGCUUUUUAUUAUUAAUGAUUAGCGUUGACACCAUCCCCCAACCUCAAGAGCAUGCUGAGGAUCUUCAGGGAACUCCAGCUUGAUCUGGGCAGCUGCCAGGGUUGGCAUCUAUCUGAAGAUUCUGUUCUCCUCCUGCCCAUCAUGUCAAGGUACCAUGCAGGCUGCCUGAAUGGACAAAGUCACCCAAACAGAUGUCUUCCUCUGAGUUUCGAAGUGACAGCAGGAAGGGCUGAACCCUCACGUCUAUUUCUCCAAAGAUGGAGUGAGGCUCUGUCUCUGUGCUGUUAUUCUGUCCUCCCGUCCAUCUGA